AAAUUGAAGAGUUUGAUCAUGGCUCAGAUUGAACGCUGGCGGCAGGCCUAACACAUGCAAGUCGAACGGUAACAGGGAUCAGCUUGCUGAUUCGCUGACGAGUGGCGGACGGGUGAGUAAUGUCUGGGAAACUGCCUGAUGGAGGGGGAUAACUACUGGAAACGGUAGCUAAUACCGCAUAAUGUCGCAAGACCAAAGAGGGGGACCUUCGGGCCUCUUGCCAUCGGAUGUGCCCAGAUGGGAUUAGCU
This 249-nucleotide ribosomal RNA is filed under the name Escherichia fergusonii. RNAcentral describes it as "partial 16S ribosomal RNA". It matches the Rfam family "Bacterial small subunit ribosomal RNA", at positions 1 to 246 of the family's 1533-position model. The record is from RNAcentral. Lineage: Bacteria; Pseudomonadati; Pseudomonadota; Gammaproteobacteria; Enterobacterales; Enterobacteriaceae.